RNAcentral lists this long non-coding RNA (371 nucleotides) under Capsella rubella. Its description in RNAcentral is "long non-coding RNA (CRUB_LNC000753)". Lineage: Eukaryota; Viridiplantae; Streptophyta; Magnoliopsida; Brassicales; Brassicaceae. The record is from RNAcentral.
UACUAUAGCUAGCGGUUUGUGAGUAGAUGUAUCCCAUUAUAAAAUUCGAAUUUCGGAGUCACGGAUGUAAGUUCAACGAUUUUGUAUUUACAUGAAUGAACAUGAAUAUGAAUCUAUUAAGUUUAAUUUAAAAUUAUAUAACAUAAUUAAGAGUAUUUUUUUUUUUUUUUAACUAUGUAUGUAGUUACUUGUCACAUACCUAUCAAGAAACCAGUUCAACUAUGGCGUUAGCCGCGUAGGUCAACAAUCUCAUUCGCAAGUUCUCAUAUAUCUUAUAGAAUCACAAUCAUUUAUGUUAGCAUUUACUAGACUUUAAUAACAGUUUCAAACAUUAAAAUAUCAUGCUAUCUCAAUCAUGACAACUAUUCAAA